CUGAGGUUACUGCUAUCGAGGAUUCGACUAAGCCAUGCGAGUUGAAUGUUCUUCGUGAACAUGGCGGACUGCUCAGUAACACGUGGACAACCUACCCUUGGGUCCGGCAUAAUCCUGGGAAACUGGGAAUAAUUCCGGAUAGGUCACCGAUGCUGGAAUGCGCGGUGGCCGAAAGCUCCGGCGCCCGAGGAUGGGUCUGCGGCCUAUCAGGGUUGUAGUGGGUGUAACGUACCUACUAGCCUACGACGGGUACGGGUUGUGAGAGCAAGAGCCCGGAGAUGGAUUCUGAGACACGAAUCCAGGCCCUACGGGGUGCAGCAGGCGCGAAAACUUUACAAUGCGGGAAACCGUGAUAAGGGGAUCUCGAGUGCCAGCAUAUAAUGUUGGCUGUCCAGAUGCCUAAAAAGCAUCUGUUAGCAAGGGCCGGGCAAGACCGGUGCCAGCCGCCGCGGUAACACCGGCGGCCCGAGUGGUAACCGCUAUUAUUGGGUCUAAAGGGUCUGUAGCCGGCCAGGUAAGUCCCUUGGGAAAUCUGGCAGCUCAACUGUCAGGCUGCUAGGGGAUACUGUUUGGCUUGGGACCGGGAGAGGUGAGAGGUACCUUGGGGGUAGGGGUGAAAUCUUGUGAUCCUCGAGGGACCACCAGUGGCGAAGGCGUCUCACCAGAACGGGUCCGACGGUAAGGGACGAAAGCUAGGGGCACGAACCGGAUUAGAUACCCGGGUAGUCCUAGCCGUAAACGAUGCUCGCUAGGUGUCAGUCACGGUGCGACCGUGAUUGGUGCCGUAGGGAAGCCGUGAAGCGAGCCACCUGGGAAGUAUGGCCGCAAGGCUGAAACUUAAAGGAAUUGGCGGGSGAGCACUACAWCGGGGUGGAGCCUGCGGUUUAAUUG
RNAcentral lists this ribosomal RNA (891 nucleotides) under uncultured Methanosaeta sp. RNAcentral describes it as "bacterial SSU rRNA". It matches the Rfam family "Archaeal small subunit ribosomal RNA", at positions 18 to 908 of the family's 1478-position model. The record is from RNAcentral. Lineage: Archaea; Methanobacteriati; Methanobacteriota; Methanomicrobia; Methanotrichales; Methanotrichaceae.